CUACGGGGUGCUGCAGUGGGGAAUAUUGGGCAAUGGGGGAAACCCUGACCCAGCAACGCCGCGUGAAGGAAGAAGGCUUUCGGGUUGUAAACUUCUUUUAAGAGGGACGAAGAAGUGACGGUACCUCUUGAAUAAGCCACGGCUAACUACGUGCCAGCAGCCGCGGGAAUACGUAGGUGGCAAGCGUUGUCCGGAUUUACUGGGUGUAAAGGGCGCGUAGGCGGGUAGGCAAGUCAGAUGUGAAAUACCGGGGCUUAACUCCGGGGCUGCAUUUGAAACUGCUUAUCUUGAGUAUCGGAGAGGCAGGCGGAAUUCCUAGUGUAGCGGUGAAAUGCGUAGAUAUUAGGAGGAACACCAGUGGCGAAGGCGGCCUGCUGGACGACAACUGACGCUGAGGCGCGAAAGCGUGGGGAGCAAACAGGAUUAGAUACCCGGGUAGUC
RNAcentral lists this ribosomal RNA (441 nucleotides) under uncultured bacterium. Its description in RNAcentral is "partial 16S ribosomal RNA". It matches the Rfam family "Bacterial small subunit ribosomal RNA", at positions 339 to 795 of the family's 1533-position model. The record is from RNAcentral.